UCCUCAGCUCCCCUUGUCCCCCCUUGGAAUCGUGCCGAGGGAUCUGGAGACGUCCUAGAGAGGUCUGGGGGCAUCCAGGGGGUUCUGGACUCAUGCAGAAGAGUCUGGAGAUGUCCAAGGAGGAUCCAGGGAGUCCCCAGGCCUGCCUGCAGCCGGUCCCGGUGACACCGGAGCCCUGUGGCGCUGUCACCAUCCUCUGUCCCGAGGACGGGAGGUGAACUCUGUGCCACCAGCAGAGGGGACCACGGGUGACAUCAGUGUGGAACAGCCGUGACGCGGCGGCGUUGUCAUUGGGUGUCACCUUCACGCAAAAGGGACAAAAGGACCCCCCUGGGGGCAUUGCGUCGAAGUUGGGGACACCGUGAGCAGCUUGAGGACUUCCCAGGGGAAGUGGGGGCACCGUGUCACCGUGUCACACCCCAAAGGUGGGGACACCCCCACAGUGUCACACCCCAAAGUUGGGGCACCCCCACAGUGUCACACCUCAAAGUUGGGGACAUCCGGCAGUGUCACACCCCAAAGUUGGGGACGCCCCGACAGUGUCACAUCUCAAAGUUGGGACAUCUCUGUGUCCCCCCCACAGUGUCACACCCCAAAGUUGGGGACGCC
Molecule: long non-coding RNA, 609 nt
Filed under: Gallus gallus (chicken)
Lineage: Eukaryota; Metazoa; Chordata; Aves; Galliformes; Phasianidae
Source: RNAcentral